This 987-nucleotide long non-coding RNA is filed under the name Zonotrichia albicollis (white-throated sparrow). RNAcentral's name for it is "lncRNA (ENSZALG00000009278.1)". The record is from RNAcentral. Lineage: Eukaryota; Metazoa; Chordata; Aves; Passeriformes; Passerellidae.
CGGUAGUUAGAUGUACACACACAUACACACACACAUCUGUGUAUAUAUAUAGUGCUUCUGAGGGUGGAUUGGUUGGUUUCCUUAGAGAAUCCUCUCGUUUGGUCAUUUCCCAGAGAGCUUGGGAUGCUCUCGGGAAUGCACCAGCGUCGUUCCAGCGCUGUCCGCAGAGGGGCCGGGACCUUCCCGCAGUGAGGGGACUUGGGUUGAGGUGUUCAUUUGAAUUUCGUGCACCUCACAGAAAACACGGCCAGGCUUUUGCUGCUUUAUUUGUAAUAACCGCCAAACACUCUUGGAAACGAGUAUGCCUUUAGGUAUGACUGUCCUCCUCUGUCUCAGAGGUGUAGAGAAAACUGGAUCCUGGAAACAUCUUGGAAGGGAUUCUAAACUGUGACUGAGAGAAUAAAAAUACUCUGUGUGUUUUGUGUAAUGAGAUAAGGAAAAGUCUCUGUUUUUCAGUCCUAGGUCAAUAGAGUAGUCUCUCUGUCGUUAAUAAUUGAAGCUGCAAAGCUCCCACUCCUUUGAAGUCUAUGGCAGUAUUGCCUGAGUCAAGACUACAAGAUUCAUCUUACUUGUACUGCUUUUUAAAAGUGUACGUCCCCUACUGCAUAAAUGAAAUGCUGCUCAAAGUGUAGAGCUCUAAACAAAGUUCCUGCAGUCCUUCUGCUGGAGUCUGUUUGCCCAGGAAUUCCCUAUUUUGGCUUGACUUUGUGAGAAGAGAGCUUCCAGCCCCUCAGGACAGUGUCAGCUGCAUGCAAUCAGCAGUAUUUGCCAUCUCUCUUAGAAAUCCAAAAAGAACAUAUUGGUUAUCAGGAAAUGGAUGAAUCAGUACCCUCCAGAGGCAGAGCUCAGUUGGGGAAAAAUUUCAAGAUAUGGAGAACAGAUAUCAAUGAACAUAAACAAUACUGCUGUGAGAAGAGAGAGCUGGGACUACUCAAGGCUCACAUGAAUUCCUACAGGAGAUGUUGGCUUGUGUCAUCUGUUACAUGA